GACCUUAUGGUGAAGUUCAUGUUAGAUUGCAAAUCUGAAGAUAUAGAAGCAGUUCUGUUGAGGUCU
This is a non-coding RNA of Petromyzon marinus (sea lamprey), 66 nucleotides long. NCBI's taxonomy places the organism in Eukaryota, Metazoa, Chordata, Hyperoartia, Petromyzontiformes, Petromyzontidae. The record is from Ensembl.